Molecule: ribosomal RNA, 301 nt
Filed under: uncultured bacterium
Lineage: Bacteria
Description: partial 16S ribosomal RNA
Rfam family: Bacterial small subunit ribosomal RNA
Source: RNAcentral
CAGUCGCCGCGGGAAUACGGAGGGCGCGAGCGUUACCCGGAUUUACUGGGCGUAAAGGGCGUGUAGGCGGCCUGGGGCGUCCCAUGUGAAAGGCCACGGCUCAACCGUGGAGGAGCGUGGGAUACGCUCAGGCUAGAGGGUGGGAGAGGGUGGUGGAAUUCCCGGAGUAGCGGUGAAAUGCGCAGAUACCGGGAGGAACGCCGAUGGCGAAGGCAGCCACCUGGUCCACUUCUGACGCUGAGGCGCGAAAGCGUGGGGAGCAAACCGGAUUAGAUACCCCCGUAGUCCCUGUCUCUUAUAC